Long non-coding RNA from Carya illinoinensis, 574 nucleotides. RefSeq lists it as uncharacterized. The transcript has 3 exons. The record is from RefSeq and is a predicted model, not a curated record. Lineage: Eukaryota; Viridiplantae; Streptophyta; Magnoliopsida; Fagales; Juglandaceae.
UAAAAUCAUCACAUCUAACGCUAUUGCCCCUAUUCCAUUCUCUCUCUCUCUCUCUCUCUCUCUCUCUCUCUCUCUCUCUCUCUCUCUCUCUCCUUUUUUCUUCUCCAAACUGUUUCUAACUCUCAUUUUUGUUCUCGGCUGACUCUUUCCCUCUCUCACCCCCUUUGUUUCCCCUGUGAUCUAUGGGUGCUCCAAAUUUGAAAAGCUUCCAGAUUACUGUAUGGUCUUUCACUUCACACGCUGAUGUCGUGUAGAUCAUUUUUCAGAUGUCCUGUCCAAGGCUCAACGAUUGCAUAACAUUUUCCAAAAAAUUAUUGGAUAAAUGUGAAGAAGAAGUACCCAUGAAAGAAAUGGUCUUAAAGCUAAUGACAAACACAAUGUGAAGACGAAGAAAUAUUCAUGAAGAACUUUUAUGUACUUUGAUUUGUAAUUUUUUUUAAUAUAUGAAUAAUGACCCAUUAUAUCAUAUUUAUUAUUAAUUGAUAUAUUAUAUCAUUUUAUUGUGGGAUAUCAUAUUAUAGUAAAUACCGUUAAUUAAUGCAAUGUGCAAGUAAUAUAUUUAUUGUGGUGUUUA